GCACUCGUGGUUCAGUGGUAGGAUGCCCGCCUGCCGCGCAGGCGAUCUGGGUUACGAUUCCUGGCUGAUGCG
Parelaphostrongylus tenuis is the source of this 72-nucleotide non-coding RNA. The record is from the annotation of a GenBank genome assembly. Lineage: Eukaryota; Metazoa; Nematoda; Chromadorea; Rhabditida; Metastrongylidae.